GACGAACGCUGGCGGCGUGCUUAACACAUGCAAGUCGAACGGAAAGGCCCUGCUUUUGUGGGGUGCUCGAGUGGCGAACGGGUGAGUAACACGUGAGUAACCUGCCCUUGACUUUGGGAUAACUUCAGGAAACUGGGGCUAAUACCGGAUAGGAGCUCCUGCUGCAUGUUGGGGGUUGGAAAGUUUCGGCGGUUGGGGAUGGACUCGCGGCUUAUCAGCUUGUUGGUGGGGUAGUGGCUUACCAAGGCUUCGACGGGUAGCCGGCCUGAGAGGGUGACCGGCCACAUUGGGACUGAGAUACGGCCCAGACUCCUACGGGAGGCAGCAGUGGGGAAUAUUGCAGAAUGGGCGGAAGCCUGAUGCAGCAACGCCGCGUGCGGGAUGACGGCCUUCGGGUUGUAAACCGCUUUCGCCUGUGACGAAGCGUGAGUGACGGUAAUGGGUGAAGAAGCACCGGCUAACUACGUG
Molecule: ribosomal RNA, 468 nt
Filed under: uncultured bacterium
Lineage: Bacteria
Description: partial 16S ribosomal RNA
Rfam family: Bacterial small subunit ribosomal RNA
Source: RNAcentral